Molecule: ribosomal RNA, 459 nt
Filed under: uncultured bacterium
Lineage: Bacteria
Description: partial 16S ribosomal RNA
Rfam family: Bacterial small subunit ribosomal RNA
Source: RNAcentral
CCUACGGGUGGCAGCAGUGAGGAAUAUUGGUCAAUGGCCGAGAGGCUGAACCAGCCAAGUCGCGUGAGGGAAGACGGCCCUACGGGUUGUAAACCUCUUUUGUCGGGGAGCAAAGAGAGUCACGUGUGACUCAUUAAGAGUACCCGAAGAAAAGGCAUCGGCUAACGCCGUGCCAGCAUCCGCGGUAAUACGGAGGAUGCGAUCGUUAUCCGGAUUUAUUGGGUUUACAGGGUGCGCAGGCGGAGGUGCCAGUCAGCGGUCAAAUGGCGGGGCUCAACCCCGUACUGCCGUUGAAACUGCAUCCGUUGAGUGCGCGAGAAGUAUGCGGAAUGCGUGGGGUAGCGGUGAAAUGCGUAGAUAUUAGGAGGAACACCAGUGGCGAAGGCGGCUUACUGGACUGUAACUGACGUUGAGGCUCGAAAGCGUGGGGAGCAAACAGGAUUAGAUACCCUGGUAGUC